Molecule: ribosomal RNA, 335 nt
Filed under: uncultured bacterium
Lineage: Bacteria
Description: bacterial SSU rRNA
Rfam family: Bacterial small subunit ribosomal RNA
Source: RNAcentral
AGGGUUCGAUUCUGGCUCAGGAUGAACGCUAGCUACAGGCUUAACACAUGCAAGUCGAGGGGCAGCAUGAAGUCAGCUUGCUGACUUUGAUGGCGACCGGCGCACGGGUGAGUAACGCGUAUCCAACCUUCCCUUUACUCGGGGAUAGCCUUUCGAAAGAAAGAUUAAUACCCGAUGCAUUUGCCUUUUUGCAUGAAUAGGUAAAGAAAGAUUCAUCGGUAAAGGAUGGGGGUGCGUUCCAUUAGAUAGUAGGCGGGGUAACGGCCCACCUAGUCGACGAUGGAUAGGGGUUCUGAGAGGAAGGUCCCCCACAUUGGAACUGAGACACGGUCCAA